ACUCCUACGGGAGGCAGCAGUAGGGAAUUUUCCGCAAUGGACGAAAGUCUGACGGAGCAAUGCCGCGUGAGUGAUGAAGGUUUUCGAAUCGUAAAGCUCUGUUGUUAAGGGAAGAAUAGCAAGAAUAGGAAAUGAUUCUUGUCUGACGGUACCUUACCAGAAAGCCACGGCUAACUACGUGCCAGCAGCCGCGGUAAUACGUAGGUGGCAAGCGUUAUCCGGAAUUAUUGGGGCGU
Molecule: ribosomal RNA, 236 nt
Filed under: uncultured bacterium
Lineage: Bacteria
Description: partial 16S ribosomal RNA
Rfam family: Bacterial small subunit ribosomal RNA
Source: RNAcentral